GUUCAGAGCCCUUCCCCAAUCUCCGUUUUUCCUCUUUGCUUAAAAGUGUUAAAUGCUAAUCAUUGGCUUGCUGGGAUAGACGCACUGCUCGUCCAAACCAAUUAUCAUCUUCUACCUCCUAGUAGUAGUACAAAAAUUAUAAGGAAAUUUACUUAGUUACCGACUGCUACUCACCCAAAUACCUACUUUAAAAGUAACUCUGUGCAUGCAGUUGGUAACUGCUUAGACAUUUUACUAGGAGGCAAUAAGAAGAUCGAAUAGCUAGUACGGGGCGGGGUGGGAGACUGGUGCAUGCAGUCGGCAAUGGAUUUAAUUUUGUUACUUUUUCUUCAAGGGGUUUUAAUUACUAGGAGGUGGUUGGUUCUAUCGAGCAGUGCAUUUGGAUUAGCACAUAUUACGCUGCUGCUCCACAUGACUAUAUGAAUUCGUCCAUCUGCAGUGUUGUAUGGAUUAGCAUAUUAGCUGCUGCUCGACAUGACUAUAUGAAUUCGUCCAUCUGCAGUGUUGUCUGAAUGUAAAUUUAGUGCCUAGUUCAGUUUGGAGUAUGUUAAUUUAGAUGAUCACAUGUUGAACUAGAGAAAUAGAAAUGACCAUCCCAAUUCUGAAUUCAUAAAAAGGAGUAGCUGCAGAAUAAAAAUGCUCAUCCCAACUCUGAAUUAAUAAAAUGAUAUCCUAUAUUAAUGUUUCUACCGAGUAAAUAUCACCAUUUGGCAUGAAAUGUUGCUACAGAGUGAAGAUGCAGAAUUUCUGUUUGUUCAGGCAGCUGCUUUAUUAUAUAAAAUGCACUAGAUACUUAUGAUUUCUUUUAUGAUCUUGUGGAUGGUCUAGAGCAAAAACAAAGUUGCAUAUGAUUUCUAGGUACUAGUAGUCUAAUUGUAUUCGAGAUGCGAUACACUGAAGGUUAAUUAUACAUAUCCACACAGCAAGUAUACAUCAUUGUACUAUACAUUUCACAUGUGUCCUAUCUUUGAAGCUCUACAAUAUUCAUGUGUAUACAAUAAUUUAUCGAAUGAGGCACUAUGAUUCUGAAUUUUUAGAUUGUUAGCUCUGGCUUCAUAAGCAAACUUAUGUGAAUAUACUUUGCAGAAUCAUUGUUCAGCCUCUUUGUUUAUGUGGGGUUCUUAUUCAUUUGAUUUCGUCCUCCUGGCAGGCAUCUUUCGUACAUUUAGCAACAAUGGUGAAUUCGAGUGGAUGAUGGAAGGCCUCAGUUUGGGGCCAAGAAAAGGCGUGGACGAGGCCAUUUCUGCAAGGCCGUCUGCAAAUUGCUGGAUGCAACAUCGAUGUAGCUCUGAUCCAGAACCUAGUUCUUGGAUGCAACACGCAUUGUCCUGCACUGAUCAGGAUCUAAUUUUGUUGAGGUGGCUGCUGUUGUGACCAUGAUCAGAAGAAGCCUGGAGAUGUGCACAAUAGUUUUAGUUGAUGUUGCCACCAUGUUUUGGUGCAUGUGUAUUUCUUUUUGAUUGUAUGCACACUUGAUGGAUCGUGCGGACGUGUAUGUGCUGUUGUGAGCUUCAUUGAGUGAUUUCUGGAUUUGAUCAUUUAAUUAUGAGAAUUAUUGAUUGUUUGCUGUUGAAA
Aegilops tauschii subsp. strangulata is the source of this 1575-nucleotide long non-coding RNA. RefSeq lists it as uncharacterized. Lineage: Eukaryota; Viridiplantae; Streptophyta; Magnoliopsida; Poales; Poaceae. The record is from RefSeq and is a predicted model, not a curated record.